Molecule: unclassified non-coding RNA, 277 nt
Organism: Notechis scutatus (mainland tiger snake)
Lineage: Eukaryota; Metazoa; Chordata; Lepidosauria; Squamata; Elapidae
Rfam family: Metazoan signal recognition particle RNA
About the family: The signal recognition particle (SRP) is a universally conserved ribonucleoprotein. It is involved in the co-translational targeting of proteins to membranes. The eukaryotic SRP consists of a 300-nucleotide 7S RNA and six proteins: SRPs 72, 68, 54, 19, 14, and 9.
Source: Ensembl
GCCGGGCGCGGUGGCGCGAGCCUGUAAUCCAGCUACUCCGGAGGCUGAGGCUGGCGGAUCGCUUCAGCUCAGGAAGAACGGGCUGCAGUGGGCUAUGCCGAUCGGGUGUCCGCACUAAGUUCGGCAUCAAUAUGGUGAUCCCCGGGGAGCCGAGGGCCACCAGGUUGCCUAAGGAGGGGUGAACCGGCCCAGGUCGGAGACGGAGCAGGUCAAAAUACAUUUUUAAAUACAUUUGAAAUAAGUCAAUAUUUGAAUGGAGGAGCUAUAUUCACCAUUU